CCUACGGGUGGCAGCAGUGGGGAAUAUUGCACAAUGGGGGAAACCCUGAUGCAGCGACGCCGCGUGAAGGAAGAAGUAUUUCGGUAUGUAAACUUCUAUCAGCAGGGAAGAAAAUGGCGGUACCUGGCUAAGCCGCCCCGGCUAACUACGUUCCAGCCGCCGCGGUCAUCCGGAGGGGGCAAGCGUUAUCCGGAUUUACUGGGUGGAAAGGGAGCGUAGGCGGGGCAGAAAGUCAGAAGGGAAAGCCCGGGGCCCAACGCCGGGACUGCUUUUGAAACUGUUGAACUAGAUUGCAGGAGAGGUAAGUGGAAUUCCUAGUGUAGCGGUGAAAUGCGUAGAUAUUAGGAGGAACACCAGUGGCGAAUGCGGCUUACUGGACUGUAAAUGACGCUGAGGCUCGAAAGCGUGGGGAGCAAACAGGAUUAGAUACCCGUGUAGUC
Molecule: ribosomal RNA, 440 nt
Filed under: uncultured bacterium
Lineage: Bacteria
Description: partial 16S ribosomal RNA
Rfam family: Bacterial small subunit ribosomal RNA
Source: RNAcentral